CCUACGGGUGGCAGCAGUGAGGAAUAUUGGUCAAUGGGCGCGAGUCUGAACCAGCCAAGUAGCGUGAAGGAUGACUGCCCUAUGGGUUGUAAACUUCUUUUAUAUAGGAAUAAAGUGAUGCACGUGUGCCUUUUUGUAUGUACUUUAUGAAUAAGGAUCGGCUAACUCCGUGCCAGCAGCCGCGGUAAUACGGAGGAUCCGAGCGUUAUCCGGAUUUAUUGGGUUUAAAGGGAGCGUAGCUGGGUUGUUAAGUCAGUUGUGAAAGUUUGCGGCUCAACCGUAAAAUUGGAAUUGAAACUGGGAGUCUUGAGUACAAUUGGGGUAGGCGGAAAUCGGGGUGUAGCGGGGGAAUGCUUAG
Molecule: ribosomal RNA, 358 nt
Filed under: uncultured bacterium
Lineage: Bacteria
Description: partial 16S ribosomal RNA
Rfam family: Bacterial small subunit ribosomal RNA
Source: RNAcentral